RNAcentral lists this ribosomal RNA (505 nucleotides) under uncultured bacterium. Its description in RNAcentral is "bacterial SSU rRNA". It matches the Rfam family "Bacterial small subunit ribosomal RNA", at positions 401 to 896 of the family's 1533-position model. The record is from RNAcentral.
GUGGGUGAAGAAGGCCUUCGGGUUGUAAAUCCCUGUCAGGAGGGAAGAACCCUUUCCGGGCAAAUACCCCGGGAAGCUGACGGUACCUCCAAAGGAAGCACCGGCUAACUCCGUGCCAGCAGCCGCGGUAAGACGGAGGGUGCAAGCGUUGUUCGGAAUUACUGGGCGUAAAGCGCGUGUAGGCGGUCGUACAAGUCGAAUGUGAAAGCCCGGGGCUCAACCCCGGAAGCGCAUUCGAAACUGUACGGCUUGAGUACGGGAGAGGGAAGUGGAAUUCCUGGUGUAGAGGUGAAAUUCGUAGAUAUCAGGAGGAACACCGGUGGCGAAGGCGGCUUCCUGGACCGAUACUGACGCUGAGACGCGAAAGCGUGGGGAGCAAACANGAUUAGAUACCCUGGUAGUCCACGCCGUAAACUGUGAGCGCUAGGUGUAGCGGGUAUUGACCCCUGCUGUGCCGUCGCUAACGCAUUAAGCGCUCCGCCUGGGGAGUACGGCCGCCAGGUUA